RNAcentral lists this ribosomal RNA (253 nucleotides) under uncultured bacterium. RNAcentral describes it as "partial 16S ribosomal RNA". It matches the Rfam family "Bacterial small subunit ribosomal RNA", at positions 524 to 776 of the family's 1533-position model. The record is from RNAcentral.
GACGGAGGGUGCUAGCGUUGUUCGGAAUUACUGGGCGUAAAGGGCUCGUAGGCGGCCAACUAAGUCAUACGUGAAAUCCCCCGGCUUAACCGGGGAACUGCGUCUGAUACUGGAUGGCUUGAGUUCGGGAGAGGGAUGCGGAAUUCCAGGUGUAGCGGUGAAAUGCGUAGAUAUCUGGAGGAACACCGGUGGCGAAGGCGGCAUCCUGGACCGAUACUGACGCUGAGGAGCGAAAGCCAGGGGAGCAAACGGG